Molecule: ribosomal RNA, 467 nt
Filed under: uncultured bacterium
Lineage: Bacteria
Description: partial 16S ribosomal RNA
Rfam family: Bacterial small subunit ribosomal RNA
Source: RNAcentral
ACGAACGCUGGCGGCGUGCUUAACACAUGCACGUCGAACGGAAAGGCCCUGCUUUUGUGGGGUGCUCGAGUGGCGAACGGGUGAGUAACACGUGAGUAACCUGCCCUUGACUUUGGGAUAACUUCAGGAAACUGGGGCUAAUACCGGAUAGGAGCUCCUGCUGCAUGGUGGGGGUUGGAAAGUUUCGGCGGUUGGGGAUGGACUCGCGGCUUAUCAGCUUGUUGGUGGGGUAGUGGCUUACCAAGGCUUUGACGGGUAGCCGGCCUGAGAGGGUGACCGGUCACAUUGGGACUGAGAUACGGCCCAGACUCCUACGGGAGGCAGCAGUGGGGAAUAUUGCACAAUGGGCGGAAGCCUGAUGCAGCAACGCCGCGUGCGGGAUGACGGCCUUCGGGUUGUAAACCGCUUUCGCCUGUGACGAAGCGUGAGUGACGGUAAUGGGUAAAGAAGCACCGGCUAACUACGUG